AGAGAGAAGAAAAAAGAAAAAGAGAAGAAAAAAAUGUAAUAAGAUUUAUGAUAUAAAACUGCUACCACUGGUACACUCGACACUCGACGCUUUUCUCUUCGUUCCUCUCCUCUGUAUUUCUUU
This 123-nucleotide non-coding RNA is filed under the name Bathycoccus prasinos. The record is from RNAcentral. Lineage: Eukaryota; Viridiplantae; Chlorophyta; Mamiellophyceae; Mamiellales; Bathycoccaceae.